Molecule: transfer RNA, 75 nt
Filed under: Fidelibacterota bacterium
Lineage: Bacteria; Pseudomonadati; Fidelibacterota
Description: tRNA-Glu
Rfam family: tRNA
About the family: Transfer RNA (tRNA) molecules are approximately 80 nucleotides in length. Their secondary structure includes four short double-helical elements and three loops (D, anti-codon, and T loops).
Source: RNAcentral
GGCCCGUUCGUCUAGCGGUCAGGACGCCGCCCUCUCAAGGCGGUAGCAGGGGUUCGAUUCCCCUACGGGCUACAA